This is a long non-coding RNA of Agelaius phoeniceus (red-winged blackbird), 392 nucleotides long. RefSeq lists it as uncharacterized. The record is from RefSeq and is a predicted model, not a curated record. NCBI's taxonomy places the organism in Eukaryota, Metazoa, Chordata, Aves, Passeriformes, Icteridae.
UUUAGCUCAAAGUGCCCCCAACUAACUGCAGGAGCUACCACUCACAGCAUAAACAGCCUGGGAUUCUCCACUGCUGCCCCUGUCUCCUCUGCCCACAGCCCCACGCAGCUCCAGGUCUCACCCCUUGGAGUUAAUGUGAUGUUCCUGCUGCGUUGCCUUGUGCUGCCACAGGAGAAGUCCCCUGUAGGAUCCAGCUGCUGGCUCUCUCUGGUUUUUUUUCUGUCUGCAGACCAGGUAGGAACGUACUUCCAAAGGGUGGGCUGCGAGGGAAAGCAGGAAAGUGGAAAGCAGUCACCAGCCUGGCAUGGUUCCUCCUGAAACUUGUGUUUGUACCUUAGGAAACAGCUCUGGAAAUAGCAAUAAAGUUUGAUUUGCUACCUUUCCUCCCCAAA